Molecule: ribosomal RNA, 429 nt
Filed under: Gemmatimonadota bacterium
Lineage: Bacteria; Pseudomonadati; Gemmatimonadota
Description: Gemmatimonadetes bacterium partial 16S ribosomal RNA
Rfam family: Bacterial small subunit ribosomal RNA
Source: RNAcentral
UAGGGAAUCUUCGGCAAUGGACGAAAGUCUGACCGAGCAACGCCGCGUGAGUGAAGAAGGUUUUCGGAUCGUAAAACUCUGUUGUUAGAGAAGAACAAGGACGUUAGUAACUGAACGUCCCCUGACGGUAUCUAACCAGAAAGCCACGGCUAACUACGUGCCAGCAGCCGCGGUAAUACGUAGGUGGCAAGCGUUGUCCGGAUUUAUUGGGCGUAAAGCGAGCGCAGGCGGUUUCUUAAGUCUGAUGUGAAAGCCCCCGGCUCAACCGGGGAGGGUCAUUGGAAACUGGGAGACUUGAGAGCAGAAGAAGAGAGUGGAACUCCAUGCGUAGCCGUGAAAUGCGUAGAUGUAUGGAGGAACACAAGUGGCGAAGGCGGCUCUCUGGUCAAUAACUGAAGCUGAGGAUCGAAAGCGUGGGGAGCAAACAGG